GGGCCGUUUUCCGGGAUUAUUGGGCGUAAGAGCUCGUAGGCGGUUUGUCGCGUCUGCCGUGAAAGUCCGGGGCUCAACUCCGGAUCUGCGGUGGGUACGGGCAGACUAGAGUGAUGUAGGGGAGACUGGAAUUCCUGGUGUAGCGGUGAAAUGCGCAGAUAUCAGGAGGAACACCGAUGGCGAAGGCAGGUCUCUGGGCAUUAACUGACGCUGAGGAGCGAAAGCAUGGGGAGCGAACAGGAUUAGAUACCCUGGUAGUCCAUGCCGUAAACGUUGGGCACUAGGUGUGGGGGACAUUCCACGUUUUCCGCGCCGUAGCUAACGCAUUAAGUGCCCCGCCUGGGGAGUACGGCCGCAAGGCUAAAACUCAAAGGAAUUGACGGGGGCCCGCACAAGCGGCGGAGCAUGCGGAUUAAUUCGAUGCAACGCGAAGAACCUUACCAAGGCUUGACAUGAACCGGUAAGACCUGGAAACAGGUCCCCCACUUGUGGCCGGUUUACAGGUGGUGCAUGGUUGUCGUCAGCUCGUGUCGUGAGAUGUUGGGUUAAGUCCCGCAACGAGCGCAACCCUCGUUCCAUGUUGCCAGCGCGUUAUGGCGGGGACUCAUGGGAGACUGCCGGGGUCAACUCGGAGGAAGGUGGGGACGACGUCAAAUCAUCAUGCCCCUUAUGUCUUGGGCUUCACGCAUGCUACAAUGGCCGGUACAAAGGGUUGCGAUACUGUGAGGUGGAGCUAAUCCCAAAAAGCCGGUCUCAGUUCGGAUUGGGGUCUGCAACUCGACCCCAUGAAGUCGGAGUCGCUAGUAAUCGCAGAUCAGCAACGCUGCGGUGAAUACGUUCCCGGGCCUUGUACACACCGCCCGUCAAGUCACGAAAGUUGGUAACACCCGAAGCCGGUGGCCUAACCCCUUGUGGGAGGGAGCUGUCGAAGUGGGACUGGCGAUUGGGACUAAGUCGUAACAAGGUAACC
RNAcentral lists this ribosomal RNA (970 nucleotides) under uncultured bacterium. RNAcentral describes it as "bacterial SSU rRNA". It matches the Rfam family "Bacterial small subunit ribosomal RNA", at positions 535 to 1501 of the family's 1533-position model. The record is from RNAcentral.